RNAcentral lists this ribosomal RNA (420 nucleotides) under bacterium. Its description in RNAcentral is "partial 16S ribosomal RNA". It matches the Rfam family "Bacterial small subunit ribosomal RNA", at positions 355 to 776 of the family's 1533-position model. The record is from RNAcentral.
UGGGGGAUAUUGCACAAUGGGCGAAAGCCUGAUGCAGCGACGCCGCGUGGGGGAUGAAGGCUUUCGGGUUGUAAACCUCUUUCGCUAUCGAACAAGGCCCGCUUAGGGUGGGUUGAGGGUAGGUGGAGAAGAAGCGCCGGCUAACUACGUGCCAGCAGCCGCGGUAAUACGUAGGGCGCGAGCGUUGUCCGGAAUUCUUGGGCGUAAAGGGCUUGUAGGCGGCUUGUUGCGCCUGGUGUGAAAACGCGGGGCUUAACUUCGCGCGUGGAGUGGGUACGGGCAGGCUUGAAGGUGGUAGGGGUGACUGGAAUUCCAGGUGUAGCGGUGGAAUGCGCAGAUAUCUGGAGGAACACCGAUGGCGAAGGCAGGUCACUGGGCCAUUACUGACGCUGAGGAGCGAAAGCAUGGGUAGCGAACAGG